RNAcentral lists this ribosomal RNA (353 nucleotides) under uncultured bacterium. Its description in RNAcentral is "bacterial SSU rRNA". It matches the Rfam family "Bacterial small subunit ribosomal RNA", at positions 8 to 351 of the family's 1533-position model. The record is from RNAcentral.
AGAGUUUGAUCAUGGCUCAGGAUGAACGCUAACUACAGGCUUAACACAUGCAAGUCGAGGGGAAACGACAUCGAAAGCUUGCUUUUGAUGGGCGUCGACCGGCGCACGGGUGAGUAACGCGUAUCCAACCUGCUCAUCACUUGGGGAUAACCUUGCGAAAGUAAGACUAAUACCCAAUGACGUCUCUAGAAGACAUCUGAAAGAGAUUAAAGAUUUAUCGGUGAUGGAUGGGGAUGCGUCUGAUUAGCUUGUUGGCGGGGUAACGGCCACCAAGGCGACGAUCAGUAGGGGUUCUGAGAGGAAGGUCCCCCANAUUGGAACUGAGACACGGUCCAAACUCCUACGGGAGGCCA